GUGCUUGCUUCAGCAGUACAUAUACUAAAAUUGGAACAAUAUAGAGAAGAUUAACAUGGCCCCUGUGCAAAGAUGACACGCAAAUGUGUGAAGUGUUCCAUAUUUUU
Molecule: small nuclear RNA, 107 nt
Organism: Myotis lucifugus (little brown bat)
Lineage: Eukaryota; Metazoa; Chordata; Mammalia; Chiroptera; Vespertilionidae
Source: Ensembl